GGGGGAUGCCUUGGCUCUCAGAGGCGAUGAAGGACGUGAUAAGCUGCGAUAAGCUUCGGGUAUUAGCAAAUAUGAAUUGAUCCGAAGAUUUCCGAAUGGGGAAACCUAACUAGUUGAAGACUAGUUGCAAUAGCGCAAACCUGCCGAACUGAAACAUCUAAGUACGCAGAGGAAGAGAAAAUAAUAAUGAUUUCCUAAGUAGUGGCGAGCGAAAGGGAAAGAGCCCAAACCAUAUAUGUUACGGCAUAUACGGGGUUGUAGGACCACAACAUGACUACUAAAGUGAACCGGAAAGGGGUGGGAAACCCUGCCAUAGAGCAUGAUAGCUGCGUAUGGGUAAGCAAUAGUAAGAUAGUGGUAUCCUGAGUACCGCGAGGUCGGAGACGCCUUGUGGGAAUCUGCCGGCACCAUCCGGUAAGGCUAAAUACUCCUGAGAGACCGAUAGUGAACUAGUACCGUGAGGGAAAGGUGAAAAGAACCCUAAGUAAGGGAGUGAAAGAGAACCUGAAACCGUACGCUUACAAGCGGUCGGAGCAUCUUCGGAUGUGACGGCGUGCCUUUUGCAUAAUGAGCCUACGAGUUACUGUUUCUAGCAAGGUUAAUUGAUUAAGUCAAGGAGCCGUAGCGAAAGCGAGUCUGAAUAGGGCGCUUUAGUUAGUAGUAGUAGACGCGAAACCGAGUGAUCUACCCAUGGGCAGGUUGAAGCUGUGGUAACACACAGUGGAGGACCGAACCAGUUGACGUUGAAAAGUCUUUGGAUGACCUGUGGGUAGGGGUGAAAGGCCAAUCAAACUCGGAAAUAGCUCGUACUCCCCGAAAUGCAUUUAGGUGCAGCGUUGAGUAAAAGUUUUAUAGAGGUAGAGCUACUGAUUGGAUGCGGGGGCUUCACCGCCUACCAAUUCCUGACAAACUCCGAAUGCUAUAAAAUGUUUCUCAGCAGUGAGGGCAUGGGUGCUAAGGUCCAUGUCCGAGAGGGAAAGAACCCAGACCAUCAGCUAAGGUCCCCAAAUAUAUGUUAAGUUGAAAAAACGAGGUUUGUCUGCCCAGACAGCUAGGAUGUUGGCUUGGAAGCAGCCAUUCAUUUAAAGAGUGCGUAACAGCUCACUAGUCGAGCGGACGAGCAUGGAUAAUAAUCGGGCAUAAACAUAUUACCGAAGCUAUGGACUUGUAAAAGUGGUAGGGGAGCAUUGUAACCUGCGUAGAAGGUGUGUUGUGAGACAUGCUGGAGUGGUUACAAAAGAAAAUGUAGGCAUAAGUAACGAUAAUGCGGGUGAGAAACCCGCACACCGAAAGACUAAGGUUUCCUCAGCGAUGCUAAUCAGCUGAGGGUUAGUCGGGUCCUAAGGCGAAUCCGAAGGGAGUAGUCGAUGGAUAACAGGUUAAUAUUCCUGUACUUCUUAUAAUUGCGAUGGGGUGACGGAGUAUUGAAAACACCGCGUACUGACGGAAUAGUACGUUAAAGACUGUAUUUAUAGGACCUGUAGGUAAAUCCGCAGGUUUUGGAGAAGGUCGAUAGUACCACAAAUCUUCGGAUGAGUGGAUAGUGUGUCUAAAAGCUUCCAAGAAAAACCUCUAAGCUUCAGAUUAUAAGAACCCGUACCGUAAACCGACACAGGUAGUUGGGAUGAGAAUUCUAAGGUGCUCGAGAGAUUCAUGGCUAAGGAACUAGGCAAAAUAGACCCGUAACUUCGGGAGAAGGGUCGCCCAUCUUCGGAUGGGCCGCAGUGAAAAGGUCCAGGCGACUGUUUAUCAAAAACACAGGGCUUUGCUAAAUUGAAAGAUGAUGUAUAAGGCCUGACACCUGCCCGGUGCUGGAAGGUUAAGUGGAGGGUUUAGCUUCGGCGAAGAUCUGAAAUGAAGCCCCAGUAAACGGCGGCCGUAACUAUAACGGUCCUAAGGUAGCGAAAUUCCUUGUCGGG
This 1919-nucleotide ribosomal RNA is filed under the name Chaetoceros neogracilis. Its description in RNAcentral is "partial Bacterial large subunit ribosomal RNA". It matches the Rfam family "Bacterial large subunit ribosomal RNA", at positions 23 to 1976 of the family's 2925-position model. Lineage: Eukaryota; Bacillariophyta; Thalassiosirophyceae; Chaetocerotales; Chaetocerotaceae. The record is from RNAcentral.